Molecule: ribosomal RNA, 499 nt
Filed under: uncultured bacterium
Lineage: Bacteria
Description: partial 16S ribosomal RNA
Rfam family: Bacterial small subunit ribosomal RNA
Source: RNAcentral
AUUGAACGCUGGCGGCAUGCCUUACACAUGCAAGUCGAACGCGAAAGGGGGGCAACCCCUGAGUAGAGUGGCGCACGGGUGAGUAAUGCAUCGGAACGUGUCCUGUAGCGGGGGAUAACCUAGCGAAAGCUAGGCUAAUACCGCAUACGUCCUACGGGAGAAAGUGGGGGAUCGUAAGACCUCACACUAUAGGAGCGGCCGAUGCCGGAUUAGCUAGUUGGUGGGGUAAAAGCCUACCAAGGCGAAGAGCCGUAGCUGGUCUGAGAGGAUGAUCAGCCACACUGGGACUGAGACACGGCCCAGACUCCUACGGGAGGCAGCAGUGGGGAAUUUUGGACAAUGGGGGAAACCCUGAUCCAGCCAUGCCGCGUGAGUGAAGAAGGCCUUCGGGUUGUAAAGCUCUUUCGGCCGGGACGAAAUCGCACGCGUGAAUAUCGCGUGUGGAUGACGGUACCGGAAGAAGAAGGACCGGCUAACUACGUGCCAGCCGCCGCCGUAA